GGGCGGAUAGCUCAGAGGGAGAGCACCUGCCUUACAAGCAGGGGGUCACAGGUUCGAGUCCUGUUCUGCCCACCA
Molecule: transfer RNA, 75 nt
Filed under: Pseudomonadota bacterium
Lineage: Bacteria; Pseudomonadati; Pseudomonadota
Also listed under: 2 other names
Description: tRNA-Val
Rfam family: tRNA
About the family: Transfer RNA (tRNA) molecules are approximately 80 nucleotides in length. Their secondary structure includes four short double-helical elements and three loops (D, anti-codon, and T loops).
Source: RNAcentral